UACGGAGGGUGCGAGCGUUGUUCGGAAUUAUUGGGCGUAAAGCGCGUGUAGGCGGUUUGUUAAGUCUGAUGUGAAAGCCCCGGGCUCAACCUGGGAAGUGCAUUGGAUACUGGCAGACUUGAGUACGGGAGAGGAGAGUGGAAUUCCCAGUGUAGGAGUGAAAUCCGUAGAUAUUGGGAGGAACACCGGUGGCGAAGGCGGCUCUCUGGACCGAUACUGACGCUGAGACGCGAAAGCGUGGGUAG
RNAcentral lists this ribosomal RNA (245 nucleotides) under uncultured bacterium. RNAcentral's name for it is "partial 16S ribosomal RNA". It matches the Rfam family "Bacterial small subunit ribosomal RNA", at positions 524 to 768 of the family's 1533-position model. The record is from RNAcentral.